Molecule: ribosomal RNA, 253 nt
Filed under: uncultured bacterium
Lineage: Bacteria
Description: partial 16S ribosomal RNA
Rfam family: Bacterial small subunit ribosomal RNA
Source: RNAcentral
UACGUAGGGGGCAAGCGUUGUCCGGAAUCAUUGGGCGUAAAGAGCGUGUAGGCGGCCCGGUAAGUCCGCUGUGAAAGUCAAAGGCUCAACCUUUGAAUGUCAGCGGAUACUGCCGGGCUAGAGUCCGGAAGAGGCGAGUGGAAUUCCUGGUGUAGCGGUGGAAUGCGCAGAUAUCGUUUGGAACGCCAAUGGUGAAAACAGACAGCUGGGAGUGUGCUGACGCUGAGACACGAAAGCCAGGGGAGCGAACGGG